AGUGAACGCUGGCGGUAGGCCUAACACAUGCAAGUCGAACGGCAGCACCGUAAGAGCUUGCUCUUACGGGUGGCGAGUGGCGGACGGGUGAGGAAUACAUCGGAAUCUACUUUUUCGUGGGGGAUAACGUAGGGAAACUUACGCUAAUACCGCAUACGACCUACGGGUGAAAGCAGGGGAUCUUCGGACCUUGCGCGAUUGAAUGAGCCGAUGUCGGAUUAGCUAGUUGGCGGGGUAAAGGCCCACCAAGGCGACGAUCCGUAGCUGGUCUGAGAGGAUGAUCAGCCACACUGGAACUGAGACACGGUCCAGACUCCUACGGGAGGCAGCAGUGGGGAAGAUUGGACAAUGGGCGCAAGCCUGAUCCAGCCAUACCGCGUGGGGGAAGAAGGCCUUCGGGUUGUAAAGACCUUUUGUUGGGAAAGAAAAGCAGCAGGUUAAUACCCCGCUGUGCUGACGGUACCCAAAGAAUAAGCACCGGCUAACUUCGUG
This 492-nucleotide ribosomal RNA is filed under the name uncultured bacterium. Its description in RNAcentral is "partial 16S ribosomal RNA". It matches the Rfam family "Bacterial small subunit ribosomal RNA", at positions 29 to 507 of the family's 1533-position model. The record is from RNAcentral.